RNAcentral lists this ribosomal RNA (433 nucleotides) under uncultured bacterium. RNAcentral's name for it is "partial 16S ribosomal RNA". It matches the Rfam family "Bacterial small subunit ribosomal RNA", at positions 29 to 507 of the family's 1533-position model. The record is from RNAcentral.
AACGAACGCUGGCGGCAUGCCUAACACAUGCAAGUCGAACGAAGGCUUCGGCCUUAGUGGCGCACGGGUGCGUAACGCGUGGGAAUCUGCCCUUUGGUUCGGAAUAACAGCUGGAAACGGCUGCUAAUACCGGAUGAUGACGAAAGUCCAAAGAUUUAUCGCCAGAGGAUGAGCCCGCGUUGGAUUAGGUAGUUGGUGGGGUAAAGGCCUACCAAGCCGACGAUCCAUAGCUGGUCUGAGAGGAUGAUCAGCCACACUGGGACUGAGACACGGCCCAGACUCCUACGGGAGGCAGCAGUGGGGAAUAUUGGACAAUGGGCGCAAGCCUAAUCCAGCAAUGCCGCGUGAGUGAUGAAGGCCCUAGGGUUGUAAAGCUCUUUUACCCGGGAAGAUAAUGACUGUACCGGGAGAAUAAGCCCCGGCUAACUCCGUG